Long non-coding RNA from Bacillus rossius redtenbacheri, 469 nucleotides. RefSeq lists it as uncharacterized. NCBI's taxonomy places the organism in Eukaryota, Metazoa, Arthropoda, Insecta, Phasmatodea, Bacillidae. The transcript is spliced from 2 exons. The record is from RefSeq and is a predicted model, not a curated record.
CCUAGCCGCCUGGGCGGGAUUCCCGUCAGCGCAACAAUGGCGCCGACGGCCGGUAUAAAUGCUCCGCCAGCCCCGUCCUGGUCGCUUCGUGCAGCAUCAUGCCUGGAACUGCGAGCAUGUUCCGAGUCAUGCUCGUGCUGCUGUUGGUGGCUUCAGCGCUGACGUGCCUCUCCUGGGCACUGCCAUUGGCCGACGACAAGCUGGACUCCGCCCCCUACGCCAGCGAGUUCAAGAAGGGCGGCUUGCACAAGGGCAAGUGCUGCAAGGGCUAGAAGGCUCUCAGGCAGCCAUGUUGGCUCCCACAAAACGUGUCGAUGCACGGAACAGAAUCUUCACCAAUUAUCCAAAUGUUACUUUAUCGAAGCUUAAAUUUGACUAAUCAAAAAAUUAAAUCAAUACAUCAGUUCUAAAAUUCAAAAUUUUAUGUAAUUUAGUUGCACAUUAAAAUCUUUGAACCCACUGUAAACAA